RNAcentral lists this ribosomal RNA (497 nucleotides) under uncultured bacterium. RNAcentral's name for it is "partial 16S ribosomal RNA". It matches the Rfam family "Bacterial small subunit ribosomal RNA", at positions 28 to 507 of the family's 1533-position model. The record is from RNAcentral.
GAUGAACGCUGGCGGCGUGCCUAAUACAUGCAAGUCGAGCGAACAGACGAUGAGCUUGCUCCUCUGACGUUAGCGGCGGACGUGUGAGUAACACGUGUAUAACCUACUUAUAAUACUGGUAUAACUUCGGGAAACCGGAGCUAAUACCGUAGAAUAUAUUGAACCGCAUUGGUCGAUGGUGAAAGUCGGUUUUUCUGUCACGUAUAGAUGGAUCCGCGCCGCAUUAGCUAGUUGGUAAGGUAACGGCUUACCAAGGCAACGAUGCGUAGACGACCUGAGAGACUGAUAGGCCACCUGAGAACUGAACCAGGGUCAAGGCGACUAAGGGAGGCAGCAGUAGGGUAUGGUACGCAGUGGGCGAAAGUAUGACGGAGCAACCGCGAGUGAGUGAUGACGGUGUUGGGAGCGUAAAAAUGUCUUAUUAGGGAUGAACAAAUGUGGAAGUAAAUAUGCACGUCUUGACGGUAACUAAUAAGAAAGCAACGGCUAACUACGUG